Molecule: long non-coding RNA, 730 nt
Organism: Balaenoptera musculus (blue whale)
Lineage: Eukaryota; Metazoa; Chordata; Mammalia; Artiodactyla; Balaenopteridae
Exons: 2
Source: RefSeq, a predicted model, not a curated record
AUCAUUGACAGACCUAAGAGUUUUCCAUAUGGCCUUCCCUUUAAGGUCUGGGAAGAAAAUAUCCACAAUGUAAUUCCUAUAGGAUUAGAGGAAGGAGGGAAGGCAACGGAGGUUCCAUUUCUGCUAGGAGUAUCCACCACUGAAAGGGACAUAUCUAUCUCUGUGGUUGUCAUCUGCUCUGCAAAAACCCUGCCCUGGGACUCCCAGGGAACAUGAAUCUGAUGUGGACCCUUCUUCUCCUCCUCCUCCUGGGGCCAAUUGUCUUCACUCCAGGCCUGCCCUUCUCAAGACGGUGUACAGACAACCCCAGGUCAUGAGUCCCUGGAGGACACCACCGGUACUGUGACGUGAUGAUGAGGUGACGGUGGCUGUUCCGGAGGGGUAGGUGCAAGCAGAUCAACACCCUCAUUCACGAGGAUUUGGCCACCAGAGCAGAUUUCUGAGAACUCCACCUGUGCCCUGUACCAGCAGAGCAGCUCCUUGCAAAGCUGCCACAACGGUGCUCACGAUGUCAGCGUCACCGACUGCUUUGCCAAAGCAGGCACCCGGCCCCUGCACUGCCACUGCUGUAAGAAGGACUCCACCAGGCCCAUCCGCGUGGGCUGUGAGGAGGGGAGCCCUGUUCACCUGGACGGCUAGUCUUCCCCCAGCCCUGACGUGGGAAGCCCAGUGACUUGCACCCUACACCUCCAGAUCUUUGAAGCCCUGCCAAAGUCUUCCCUGUAAACGC